UAAAGAUCCGUCGGAUGAGGAUAGGCUCGCGUGACAUUAGCUAGACGGCGGGGUAACGGCCCACCGUGGCGACGAUGUCUAGGGGUUCUGAGAGGAAGGUCCCCCACACUGGAACUGAGACACGGUCCAGACUCCUACGGGAGGCAGCAGUGAGGAAUAUUGGUCAAUGGCCGGAAGGCUGAACCAGCCAUGCCGCGUGAAGGUCAGUGCCCUAUGGGCGUUAAACUUCUUUUGUGCGGGAGCAAUAAGGGCCACGCGUGGCCUGACGAGAGUACCGUACGAAUAAGCAUCGGCUAACUCCGUGCCAGCAGCCGCGGUAAUACGGGGGAUGCAAGCGUUAUCCGGAUUUAUUGGGUUUAAAGGGUGCGUAGGCUGUGAGGUAAGUCAGCGGUGAAAUGCCCCCGCUCAACGGGGUGAAGUGCCAUUGAUACUGCCUUGCUGGAAUGCGGAUGCCGUGGGAGGAAUGUGUGGUGUAGCGGUGAAAUGCAUAGAUAUCACACAGAACACCGAUUGCGAAGGCAUCUCACGAAUCCGCGAUUGACGCUGAUGCACGAAAGCGUGGGUAUCAAACAGGAUUAGAUACCCUGGUAGUCCACGCUGUAAACGAUGAUGACUAACCGUCGGCGAUACACAGU
This 635-nucleotide ribosomal RNA is filed under the name uncultured bacterium. RNAcentral's name for it is "bacterial SSU rRNA". It matches the Rfam family "Bacterial small subunit ribosomal RNA", at positions 202 to 837 of the family's 1533-position model. The record is from RNAcentral.